This is a non-coding RNA of Acanthosepion pharaonis, 92 nucleotides long. The record is from the annotation of a GenBank genome assembly. Lineage: Eukaryota; Metazoa; Mollusca; Cephalopoda; Sepiida; Sepiidae.
CCAUCGGUUCUCGUGCGAUCACCAAAGUUAAGCAACGCCGAGCCUGGUCAACACUUAGAUGGUUGACCUCUUGAGAGUAUGAGGUGCUGCAA